CCUCGAUGCGCCAGCGCGUGCGCGAGAUCCCCCGGCUGCCUCAUCUCGAUGCGUCUCUCCUUGUCCGACGACCUCCUCCCUCUCAACCGGCUCCGGGGGAUGAUUUCCAAUUGGGUGGGAGGCGCUGAGGUCGGGAACGAGAGCAGCUUCGGUCAGUCAACGCUCGCGCCCCACAUCACAUGGCCUACUUCUGAAGGGUUGCAGGAAGGAACAGGAAGAGAAUGCUACCCGUGCUAGCGGCACUAGCACGGCGCGGUUUGCAAGACCGUACUCGGGACUGUCGGUUCUCAAGACUCUUCAUUCAGUCACUGAUGAACAGCCACCCGGUGCUUCAGACUUCAGAUUCUUCUUCAGUCAAUGAUACAUCAUAUGCAUGCCUGUGUGAAAGUGAUCUGACUUUCUUUCGUACACGCGUUUCCUUGGGUAAUCCUGGCAAUGUAUGUAAUGGAUCGGCAGGCAGGCAGAGGCGCCUCGUACGCGUGUUUACAAGGCAAGCCUGGCAAUCAAUCACUUCAUUUUGAACAACACACGGCAUCAGGGCUAUAUAUCCAUGUAUGUGAUGUGUGUGCUUUCGAGCUUCAGCUACACUACACCUGCACACCAUGAGCCUUCUCCUAGCCUUGGAACUGCUGCUCUUCCUGCUUGCCUUGCCACGCCUUUCUUUUACCUCAAAUUCCACACAUUCGUCGCUGGAUCAGCAGGCAGAGGCGCUUCUCCAAUGGAAAUCUAACCUAAGCAGUCAUUGGUCCUAUGCUCUCCACUCAUGGACAAAGGAAACCAGCCCGUGUGACUGGAUCAGCAUUACCUGCAGCAACGCCAUGCUGCCUCGUGGCGGUGACCACGGUGAUGCUGCCCUAGUUGUGUCCAACAUUUCGCUUGUGGAGGAUGGCCUUUUUGGCAGGUUGGACAGGCUUCACUUUUCAGACUUGCCCCAUCUUGUCUUUCUGAACCUCAGUGACAACUAUUUCUCGGGCUCAAUCCCAUCAAGCAUUGGUGCUCUUGCCGAGCUCACUCACUUGGAUCUUUCCGCCAAUAACCUGGACGGAUCUAUCCCAGCAUCCCUAGACUUGCCCCAUCGUGUGUAUCUGGACCUCAGUUACAACGACCUGAACGGAUCUAUCCCAACAUCCCUAGAUAAAUACUUACCUCAUCUUGUCUAUCUGGACCUCCGUGGCAACUCUCUCUCGGGCCUAAUCCCAUCAAGCAUUGGCGCUCUUGCAAAGCUCUCUCUUUUGGGCCUAAUCCCAUCAAGCAUUGGCGCUCUUGCAAAGCUCUCUUUUGGAUCUGUCCACCAACAAUCUUGAUGGAUCCAUCCCACCUUUCGAAGACUUGUCACAUCUUAUCUAUCUGAACCUCAGCAACAACUAUCUAUGGGGUUCAAUCCCAUCAAGCAUUGUUGCUCUUGCUGAGCUCACACACCUGGAUCUAUCCAACAAUGGCCUGAAUGGAUCUAUCCCAACAUCCCUUGGUAAUUUUACCCCCUCUGGUCCUUUUUAGUUUGCAUAUA
Molecule: long non-coding RNA, 1507 nt
Organism: Triticum dicoccoides
Lineage: Eukaryota; Viridiplantae; Streptophyta; Magnoliopsida; Poales; Poaceae
Exons: 6
Source: RefSeq, a predicted model, not a curated record